GUACACAAAAAUGCACAUGCUGUGAGCUCGAUGAGUAGGGCGGGACACGUGGUAUCCUGUCUGAAUAUGGGGGGACCAUCCUCCAAGGCUAAAUACUCCUGACUGACCGAUAGUGAACCAGUACCGUGAGGGAAAGGCGAAAAGAACCCCGGCGAGGGGAGUGAAAAAGAACCUGAAACCGUGUACGUACAAGCAGUGGGAGCACGCUUAGGCGUGUGACUGCGUACCUUUUGUAUAAUGGGUCAGCGACUUAUAUUCUGUAGCAAGGUUAACCGAAUAGGGGAGCCGAAGGGAAACCGAGUCUUAACUGGGCGUUAAGUUGCAGGGUAUAGACCCGAAACCCGGUGAUCUAGCCAUGGGCAGGUUGAAGGUUGGGUAACACUAACUGGAGGACCGAACCGACUAAUGUUGAAAAAUUAGCGGAUGACUUGUGGCUGGGGGUGAAAGGCCAAUCAAACCGGGAGAUAGCUGGUUCUCCCCGAAAGCUAUUUAGGUAGCGCCUCGUGAAUUCAUCUCCGGGGGUAGAGCACUGUUUCGGCAAGGGGGUCAUCCCGACUUACCAACCCGAUGCAAAC
Molecule: ribosomal RNA, 575 nt
Filed under: Escherichia coli
Lineage: Bacteria; Pseudomonadati; Pseudomonadota; Gammaproteobacteria; Enterobacterales; Enterobacteriaceae
Description: partial 23S ribosomal RNA
Rfam family: Bacterial large subunit ribosomal RNA
Source: RNAcentral